Non-coding RNA from Cricetulus griseus (Chinese hamster), 1308 nucleotides. Lineage: Eukaryota; Metazoa; Chordata; Mammalia; Rodentia; Cricetidae. The record is from RefSeq and is a predicted model, not a curated record.
ACAGAGAUUCUCCCGUCUCUGCCUCCCAAGUGUUGGGACUAAGGCAUGUGCCACCACCACCCAGCUACAUUUUAUUUCAUAAACAGUCAUUUUCUGAGCAACUUCGUGAUGAGCACUGACUGCCCUCAAAGAGCUGAAUGCAGUGAAUUCCUGGGCUGACUGGUUUUCCUGAGUCUCUACUUAGACCCACUCUCCUCUGGUCCACUCCAGCCUGGGUAAAGUGGACCUCAUUGUUCCCAUCACAGAAACAGCACUGAGUGUGGCCUCUUCUGUACCCCAUAGGGCAUUUGGACCAGUCUGUUAUGAUUGAGUUUAAAUCCUUGCCUAGGUACAGGAGCCUCAAGCCCCAUACUUCCCCCCUCCCUCCUCACCUCUUCUGCCACCAUUCCUUUGCUCUGUUUACAGGCUCCUCCCUCCUGAUGUUCCACGUGUUUCAGCUCUUCCUGGAUCCAAAUCCGGCUUUUACCACCUAGGAGACAAGGACUUGAGUGGGGACUGGCCACUUCUGAUCUGGGUGUCCCCAGCCUCAUCUCACUCACCUGUAGCUCCCAGAGUGCCCUUUCAAAUUGGCUCAACCCACCAUCUGUCAAAAUGUCUCCAAGAAGGACUGAACGAAGUGUCUUCAGAGUGUCCCUGCGGGCCCUCAUCUCCUCUACUGCAUUCCACAAGAUGCUGGGAAUCAACUCCAAGGCCUUAAGCAUGCUGGGCAAGUGCUUACCAAUAAUCUAUUUUCCAACCAUUCCUUGAUGUUGUUUUCCAGUGUGUGAGACUAUCUGGCUGUGUAACCCACUCUAGCCUUGAGUUUGUAGUAUUCCUACCCCACUCACUCUUCUGAGUGUUGGAAUUACAGGUAUGUGCCACCAAAUUAGGCUUCAUUGACAUUGUGGUCUAAUCUAUAUCCCCCAAUGUAACCUCCUCCCAAAUCUGGUAUUACAGCUUCAGGAUCCUCAUUUGUAAUGGGUAUGUGGAAAUAGGAAAGUGUUUUCUCCUCUGUAGUCCUUUCCUAAUAUAUAAGUUAAGCCUGCCUCCCUCUCAUUUGUGAAUUAGACUUGCAUUCUGGGAUGUGGCUGCUUACUCCUGGAAUCCCAGCACUCAAAAUGCUGAGGCAGGCAGACUUCCAGGAGUUCAAAGCCAGUUUGGGCUACAGUGACACCCUGUUGAAGAAAAAAGGUGUUAAAAUGCUUGAUAAAGAUCCUGAAUAUGGGGGCUGGAGAGAUGGCUCAGAGGUUAAGAGCACUGACUGCUCUUCCAGAGGAUCCGAUUUCAAUACCCAGCAACCACAUGGUGGCUUACAACUAUCUAUAAUGA